RNAcentral lists this ribosomal RNA (231 nucleotides) under uncultured bacterium. Its description in RNAcentral is "partial 16S ribosomal RNA". It matches the Rfam family "Bacterial small subunit ribosomal RNA", at positions 109 to 334 of the family's 1533-position model. The record is from RNAcentral.
CGUAACACGUAGGCAACCUGCCCAAAAGUGGGGGACAACAGUUCGAAAGGACUGCUAAUACCGCAUAUUAUUACCGAACGGCAUCGUUUGGUAAUCAAAGCAUACUUGUAUGCGCUUUUGGAUGGGCUUGCGGCCUAUCAGGUAGUUGGUGGGGUAAUGGCCUACCAAGCCGACGACGGGUAGCUGGUCUGAGAGGACGAUCAGCCGGAUUGGGACUGAGAUACGGCCCAG